CAGAGAGGGAGAAGAACUGGAUCAGAAUUCAUGCCAAGAAGAUGCAGGACCUGGAAACGUUGGCAGCCUCAGGGAAAUCGCAGAAUUAAGGUAAAGGGCUGCAUUUAAAUUAAAGUUUCAAACCAGGGUUAUAAUAGUUUUAGGUUUUUCAUUACAGUUUUAUUUCAUUGACUUUUUGUCUAGCUUUAAUUAGUUUUUAGCGUCUGUUUGAAAGUUUUCAUUAGUUCCUAGUUAAAUUUUGCUUAGUUUCCGUUUAGUUUUUAUAAGUUGUAGUCGUAGAUUUAGUUUUUUUCAUACUUCGACCUUUUUGAAUACUGCAACUAAACAUUAACCAAAACGAGCGGUUACUGAAGGAGGACAGAAUUAUGAAAAGGAAGUAAAGGAAACCAAGCAAGAAGCAAGGGAAAAAGAAAUGUCUCAAGGGCUGUUAAUCAGAUCCUUUUUUUUUUUUGCUUUGUUUUCUUCAAGAAGCUGAUGGACUGCGGCGAGCCGGCGCUGCAGCCAUAGCUGCCAACA
Molecule: long non-coding RNA, 516 nt
Organism: Xiphophorus couchianus (Monterrey platyfish)
Lineage: Eukaryota; Metazoa; Chordata; Actinopteri; Cyprinodontiformes; Poeciliidae
Exons: 2
Source: RefSeq, a predicted model, not a curated record